CACUGCGGCACAAACACGGCCAGAGCCACCCUCUGUGAAUCACCUACCUACUGAGAGAAACCUCCCGUGGGUCUGUAGGUUUUUGUCCAGGCUCUAGCUGUGGAAAAACUCAGCAGAGAAUAAACGGCAGAGAGUAAGUGCAUGCAGUGAAGGACAGCAGAAGUGAACGGAUAUUUACAGCAACAUCAAAGUCCUGAUUUGUUCCCUUGGAGCUGGAUUUUUCAAUAAAAGCUGCUAAGAAUUUGGGGGUUUUUUUCUGACAAGUCCAGAAUUAAUCUCUCUCGUAUUUUGCUAUGGAAGAGGGAUGCACUGAAGAGUUUCUCUUCAAAGACCAGGACUUCUCCUCUGAACUGCUGAGGCAGCUGAAUGCUCUGCGACAGAGCAGGAUGCUGACCGAUGUUACCCUCUGCUCCGGGGGCUUUGAAAUCCCCUGUCACCGAAAUGUGCUGGCUUCCAGCAGCCCAUACUUCAAGGCAAUGUUCUGUAACAACUUCAGGGAGAGUCACCAGCCUAAAGUCAUUCUAAAGGGCAUCGACGCUGAUAUUUUGGAUCAGAUUAUCCUUUAUGUUUACACUGGAGAGAUUCUAAUAUCCACUGAGAAUGUCUUGUGCCUCUUUGAGACUGCGUCCAUGCUGCAGUACACUAAGCUGUUUGAGGCCUGCUCUACCUACCUCCAAGACAAGCUGACCCCUGACAAUUGUCUGAGCAUGAUCAGACUGGCAAAAAUCUUGAACUGCCAAAGCUUGAAUAAGAAAGCCAAGGCUAUGGCUUUGAAAUAUUUUCCUGUGGUGGCCUCUUCUGAGGACCUGAAGGACCUCUGUCCCAUGGAGCUCAUAGAUUACCUGGGGGAUGAUGAACUCUGUGGGGAGGAGGAGCAGGUCUUUGAAGCACUAAUGGUCUGGAUCCGGCACGACCUCCAGGCACGACAAGGCUACAUGCAAGAGUUGUUCAAGAAGGUCCGGCUUCAGUACGUCCAUCCAACUUUCCUGUUCCAUUUCAUUGCUAAUGACUCACUCGUUCAGGCCUCACCCACUUGCAGGAGCAUCCUGGAGUCAGCCCGGAGACACAUGUUUUCCUUGUACAGCACCAACACGCCUGACAUCAAACCCAUGAUGCAUGUUCCUCGCAGGUACUCCAACCAGGAGUUCCUCAUCAUCAUUGGUGGCAGGAAGGACAGCCAGCAGACAACGAGGGAUGUCCUGCUUUAUGAUGACAAGACGAACCAAUGGCUGAGCCUUGCCAAACUUCCCAUGCGCCUCUACAAAGCCUCUGCAGUGAGUUUACACAGCAAUAUUUUUGUGCUCGGAGGGAUGCCUGUUAGCAAUAAGAAAAGUCUGGUCAGUGGUAAUAUUUACAUUUACUCCCUCAAACUCAAUCAGUGGAGGUUGAUUGAGCACAUGCUAGUUCCACGUUACUCCCACAGAAGCCUGGCAUACAAAAAUUAUAUUUUAUCAUUUGGUGGAAUUGGCGAAAACCAGGAAAUCCUGAAUUCUGUGGAAAGAUAUGAUAGUGUCUACAACACCUGUGAGAUCAUGGCAAACAUGCCUGUUGCCGUCCUUCACCCUGCUGUUGCUGCCAAAGAUCAGAGGGUUUACCUCUUUGGGGGAGAAGAUAUAAUGCAAAACCCUGUUCGGCUCAUCCAGGUUUACCAUGUCUCCAGGAAUACGUGGUUUCGUAUGGAGACUAGGGUAGUGAAGAAUGUCUGUGCACCAGCUGUUGUGAUUGGAGACCAGAUUAUCAUCGUAGGUGCUGCUUGAAAGCUCCUCCCGCAGAAGUUGAAGUCAUAUUCUCCAUGGCACAAUGAGCAUGAAUUCCUCAGUGCAAGGUUGCACCUGCAAAGGAGCUGAGAUCUGGACUAAGGAACACUGCUGGAAGACAAGUACAGACCAAGGGGCAAAAGAGGCACUUCUUCAGAGAGCAAAGUUACCAUGAACUUGCUGGAUCUGUUUCAAUGCUGAAAUGACGUGGACCCUGGCACCAGGCAGAUCGAAAGCAAGGGAACUGUGCCUGCUUUGUGUUGUUAUGACACAUAUAUUUCCCUGAAAAUGACAUUAAAAUUUACCAGAGGCUCAAACAUUGUUCUGUUUAUCUAUUCCCUGGGUAGGAUCUUAGAGGCAGCCCGAGCACUGCAGAAUGUAGCCUCUGUGAAGUAAACUUGGCCUCUGGCAUGAGGACCAUCAGCAAAUGUGAAAUGGGAAGCCAGCACGUCAGGGCAUACAUGACUGUGUCCCACAGCCUCCUGUCAGGGCUACAUCCCUUGGAGACACACAGAGGGGUGAGCCACGGGAGGAACUCCCUGCCGUGCCCUGAGGUUUGCCAGAGAGGGAGCAGAUGGCACAGAAUGAUUCCUCCCCAUCGCAUUGACCCUGGCUUCGUCCUGUGCAGAAACAUGGAAAGGCUCCUCGUCACCCAGGCUGUGUCAACAAUGCCUCAGGGUGCUUCGGGCCACAUUUCAGCCCUGGCACUCCCUUGCAGUGGAACUUGCAGCUGAAUUAAUUAAUUAAUUAAUUCACAGUGUGGACUAAUCCAUGUGUGUGCACGUAGAGCCAUGGCAUCCAACAGAGAAGACUCCCAGAAACUUAACUGAGUGCCACUCAAGCCUUGACCAAGGAGGAAAGCAGGGCGAUCCUAUGGAUGUUCUUCAAGAUGCUGUGAUAUUUAAUGGCUAAUUCAGACCUUUUUAAAUUAAGGAGGUCUUUGGGCUUGGCAGGUUCUGACUGAAGGCUUCUGGCUGAGAGAUCCUGUUUACAGCCUACAAGAGCUGUCUGCUCAUAAUAACUUGAAAGAAAUGUCAGUAAAUAGAGCUUGUUUCUUCUUCCAGGGGGCUCUGAAAAUUUUUUCAGGGGAAAAGUAGCAAUACACAAUGAAAGAAGGGUUGCAGGCAAACUGAACUACAAAUGGCAGGGAAGCCAAAAGCAUGUUUGCCCUUCCAACCUUGCGCAUAUGUUUUUUAUGGCAUGAAAUGUGACAGGCACAGUUGAUCACAGAUAUCAAGCUGAGAGUCUGUUAUUUGUGAUGGCAGCAUAAAAUACACAGGCCCUCACUCCAAAGAGCUUGAGAAGAGAAAUUGGGAGCUGAGGACACAGAUGGCCCUCAGAGCACCAUCAGCUGGACUUUCAAAGCAGCCAGCUUGUUUAUUAGGCAAGAGCAACACCUUAUGCCAUAACCUGGGUAACUGAAGUAGAAGUGAAAUAAAAUAAAAUAAAAUAAAAUAAAAUAAAAUAAAAUAAAAUAAAAUAAAAUAAAAUAAAAUAAAAUAAAAUAAAAUAAAAUAAGAUAUAAAAUAAAAUUCAGCUCUUCCAUGUGUCUUUCUGGUCCACAGAUCAGCACACAAAUAAGAUCAAAUAAAUACCAAGGCCCAGGACUUUCUGGAAACUUGGGCAAAGCUGGCUGCACCAACCUUUCUAUCCCCAGGUGCCUCAUAGCCAGAAGGGAACCAUUACCCUUCACCUAGAAGAAUUCCCUUCACUUAAGAAGAGUUUUUUCCUCUGAUUUUCCCUUCUAAGAUUUUUCCCUUCCCAGGAAAAGUAGCAGAAGGGGUGGGACAACUCCAGGAAUGGGCACACACCUGGGAAAUUGGAUCCCUUCUGCUUUUAAAAACAAGUGAUUUAUAGAGUAAGGACUGAACAUUCAGACAGCUCAGGAAACUCUGAUUUCCAGGAACAAGCUAUAAAAGCCAUUUAGAUUGUCUGAAAAUACUUUGACAUUUCCCUUUCACAUUUCCAAAGUAAUUUCAAAGGUAAUAGGUAGUGCAGUCCAAUCUUCCUAGGACUGCCACCAGUGAAGGGAAAUGCAGCUGGGAAAAUGGAUCAAUAGGAAUUUGCCUUUAUCAUAUUUGUUUUCUAGAACACAUUUUCCUCUACAGAUUUGGUGCUGGACUAUUGCUAAUGCAUGGAUUUUCAUAACACUGCACACCAUGUAAACAUCACAAGGCACCAAAGGGGAAGUUGAAAGUAGGGGUUGACCACUGUGGUUAUGUCUGCACACAGCACAGAGAAGCACAAAAUAAGUCUUUAAAACUGAAAAUUGCUGCUGCUGAGCCCUAAAGUCUUUGCCUCUACUGGAGCAAUACCAAGUCUGAGAGAGAUGAAGCCAAAGCCCAUAAGUUAUGUCAUCAGUACCUACUGGAAGGGGAAAACUCAGAUGUGCAGUGGCCUUCAGCAGGAGAUCUGGGGUUUUUACACAGCAAAUCACCCUGCUGCCCCUUGCAACCAGCUCCUGAGGCUGCACUGGGCACUGGCCACCCAUGAGAUGCAGCUACCCCAGAGCAGCUUUACACAGAGCUCCUCUCUCAGGCAGGGAUGCUCACUGUGUCCCACUGACACUGCCUGGGUGGUGUUGAGGCAAGCAAACUGUAGAGCAACCCAGACUGGAACUGUCUGCAAAAAUGGAGGGACAUCUGUCCUCUGUAGCAGACUUGCCCUUGGUUUGCACCAUCUUUCCACCUCAGAAGGCUCCGAAUCACUUUAAGAGACAGAAAAAUGAAGACGCAACAAGGCUG
Molecule: RNA transcript, 4501 nt
Organism: Passer montanus (Eurasian tree sparrow)
Lineage: Eukaryota; Metazoa; Chordata; Aves; Passeriformes; Passeridae
Gene: KLHL38
Gene name: kelch like family member 38
Exons: 8
Source: RefSeq, a predicted model, not a curated record